UACGAAGGGGGCAAGCGUUGUUCGGAUUUACUGGGCGUAAAGGGCGCGUAGGCGGAACGACAAGUCAGAGGUUAAAGCCCUGGGCUCAACCCGGGAAUUGCCUUUGGGACUGCCGUUCUAGAGUUCGGAAGAGGAUGGCGGAAUACCCAGUGUAGAGGUGAAAUUCGUAGAUAUUGGGUAGAACACCGGUGGCGAAGGCGGCCAUCUGGUCCGACACUGACGCUGAGGCGCGAAAGCGUGGGGAGCAAACAGG
Molecule: ribosomal RNA, 253 nt
Filed under: uncultured bacterium
Lineage: Bacteria
Description: partial 16S ribosomal RNA
Rfam family: Bacterial small subunit ribosomal RNA
Source: RNAcentral